This 494-nucleotide ribosomal RNA is filed under the name uncultured bacterium. RNAcentral's name for it is "partial 16S ribosomal RNA". It matches the Rfam family "Bacterial small subunit ribosomal RNA", at positions 28 to 507 of the family's 1533-position model. The record is from RNAcentral.
GACGAACGCUGGCGGCGUGCCUAAUACAUGCAAGUCGAGCGGACUUAAAAAGCUUGCUUUUUAAGUUAGCGGCGGACGGGUGAGUAACACGUGGGCAACCUGCCUGUAAGACUGGGAUAACUUCGGGAAACCGGAGCUAAUACCGGAUAAUCCUUUUCUACUCAUGUAGAAAAGCUGAAAGACGGUUUACGCUGUCACUUACAGAUGGGCCCGCGGCGCAUUAGCUAGUUGGUGUGGUAACGGCUCACCAAGGCGACGAUGCGUAGCCGACCUGAGAGGGUGAUCGGCCACACUGGGACUGAGACACGGCCCAGACUCCUACGGGAGGCAGCAGUAGGGAAUCUUCCGCAAUGGACGAAAGUCUGACGGAGCAACGCCGCGUGAGUGAUGAAGGUUUUCGGAUCGUAAAACUCUGUUGUUAGGGAAGAACAAGUACGAGAGUAACUGCUCGUACCUUGACGGUACCUAACCAGAAAGCCACGGCUAACUACGUG